AGAACGAACGCUGGCGGCAGGCUUAACACAUGCAAGUCGAGCGCUCCUUUCGGGGAGAGCGGCGGACGGGCGAGUAACGCGUGGGAACGUGCCUUUUGCUACGGAAUAGCCCAGGGAAACUUGGAUUAAUGCCGUAUGUGCCCUUCGGGGGAAAGAUUUAUCGGCAAAGGGUCGGCCCGCGUCUGAUUAGGUAGUUGGUGGGGUAACGGCCUACCAAGCCGACGAUCAGUAGCUGGUUUGAGAGGAUGAUCAGCCACACUGGGACUGAGACACGGCCCAGACUCCUACGGGAGGCAGCAGUGGGGAAUCUUGGACAAUGGGGGCAACCCUGAUCCAGCCAUGCCGCGUGAACGAUGAAGGCCUUAGGGUGUAAAGUUCUUUCAGCGGGGAAGAUAAUGACGGUACCGCAGAAGAAGCCCCUGCUAACUCCGUGCCAGCAGUCGC
This 444-nucleotide ribosomal RNA is filed under the name uncultured bacterium. Its description in RNAcentral is "SSU rRNA". It matches the Rfam family "Bacterial small subunit ribosomal RNA", at positions 26 to 518 of the family's 1533-position model. The record is from RNAcentral.